UCCCCGCGACGUCCAUAUCCAGGCGUCCGCGCUCACAGUCCUCGAGAUCGAUCUCGGCGACCAGCAGCCCAU
Aspergillus fumigatus Af293 is the source of this 72-nucleotide non-coding RNA. The record is from the annotation of a RefSeq genome assembly. Lineage: Eukaryota; Fungi; Ascomycota; Eurotiomycetes; Eurotiales; Aspergillaceae.